CCUACGGGAGGCAGCAGUGAGGAAUAUUGGUCAAUGGGCUUACGCCUGAACCAGCCAAGUCGCGUGAGGGAAGACUGCCCUAUGGGUUGUAAACCUCUUUUGUCAGGGAGCAACGCCGGCUACGUGUAGCCGGACUGAGAGUACCUGAAGAAAAAGCAUCGGCUAACUCCGUGCCAGCAGCCGCGGUAAUACGGAGGAUCCGAGCGUUAUCCGGAUUUAUUGGGUUUAAAGGGAGCGUAGAUGGGUUGUUAAGUCAGUUGGGAAAGUUUGCGGCUCAACCGUAAAAUUGCAAUUGAUACUGGCAGCCUUGAGUACAGUUGAGGUAGGCGGAAUGCGUGGUGUAGCGGUGAAAUGCUUAGAUAUCACGAAGAACUCCGAUUGCGAAGGCAGCUUACUAAACUGCCACUGACAUUGAUGCUCGAAAGUGUGGGUAUCAAACAGGAUUAGAUACCCGGGUAGUC
Molecule: ribosomal RNA, 461 nt
Filed under: uncultured bacterium
Lineage: Bacteria
Description: partial 16S ribosomal RNA
Rfam family: Bacterial small subunit ribosomal RNA
Source: RNAcentral